This 251-nucleotide unclassified non-coding RNA is filed under the name Glomus sp. RNAcentral's name for it is "partial contains 5.8S ribosomal RNA and internal transcribed spacer 2". The stretch from base 1 to 65 matches the Rfam family "5.8S ribosomal RNA", at positions 84 to 154 of the family's 154-position model. Lineage: Eukaryota; Fungi; Glomeromycota; Glomeromycetes; Glomerales; Glomeraceae. The record is from RNAcentral.
GUGAAUCAUCAAAUCUUUGAACGCAAAUUGCACUCUCUUCGGAGAGUAUGCCUGUUUGAGGGUCGGCCUAAAAAAUCGACGUAGUCGCUGUUUCGCGGUGACAUUCGUCGGACAUUGGGUCAUCUUAAACCUUUGGGUUUUUUAAGCGGCCCAAAAUUUUCCUUUCGAUUCCACGAACGUUUCUAAGAUUUUACUUCUUACACACGAUUAAGGUAUCAAUCUUUAUUAGACCUGGCCGUUUCAUCGGAUCG